AGAGUUUGAUCCUGGCUCAGGAUGAACGCUGGCGGCGUGCCUAAUACAUGCAAGUCGAACGAAACUUCUUUAUCACCGAGUGCUUGCACUCACCGAUAAAGAGUUGAGUGGCGAACGGGUGAGUAACACGUGGGCAACCUGCCCAAAAGAGGGGGAUAACACUUGGAAACAGGUGCUAAUACCGCAUAACCAUAGUUACCGCAUGGUAACUAUGUAAAAGGUGGCUAUGCUACCGCUUUUGGAUGGGCCCGCGGCGCAUUAGCUAGUUGGUGAGGUAAAGGCUUACCAAGGCAAUGAUGCGUAGCCGAACUGAGAGGUUGAUCGGCCACAUUGGGACUGAGACACGGCCCAAACUCCUACGGGAGGCAGCAGUAGGGAAUCUUCCACAAUGGGCGAAAGCCUGAUGGAGCAACGCCGCGUGGGUGAAGAAGGUCUUCGGAUCGUAAAACCCUGUUGUUAGAGAAGAAAGUGCGUGAGAGUAACUGUUCACGUUUCGACGGUAUCUAACCAGAAAGCCACGGCUAACUACGUGCCAGCAGCCGCGGUAAUACGUAGGUGGCAAGCGUUAUCCGGAUUUAUUGGGCGUAAAGGGAACGCAGGCGGUCUUUUAAGUCUGAUGUGAAAGCCUUCGGCUUAACCGGAGUAGUGCAUUGGAAACUGGGAGACUUGAGUGCAGAAGAGGAGAGUGGAACUCCAUGUGUAGCGGUGAAAUGCGUAGAUAUAUGGAAGAACACCAGUGGCGAAAGCGGCUCUCUGGUCUGUAACUGACGCUGAGGUUCGAAAGCGUGGGUAGCAAACA
Molecule: ribosomal RNA, 799 nt
Filed under: uncultured bacterium
Lineage: Bacteria
Description: bacterial SSU rRNA
Rfam family: Bacterial small subunit ribosomal RNA
Source: RNAcentral